Long non-coding RNA from Astatotilapia calliptera (eastern happy), 720 nucleotides. NCBI's taxonomy places the organism in Eukaryota, Metazoa, Chordata, Actinopteri, Cichliformes, Cichlidae. The record is from Ensembl.
GGGGGGGCUAGAGGGGCUUGAGCACCCGCCCCUUUCCUGGUGGGUGCCCAAAGUGCCCUUUUGUUGAGGCAACUUUAAAAAAAAAAAAUUAUUAUUAUUAUUUUUUUAAUGUGUGUGUGCGUGCGGAGUCCUGUCUGUGCCCCUCAACAAUAAUAUUUAACUAUUAAUCACAGUUUUGCUAAAUAAAAGGAUCUGGCUUGCAUCAGUCACAUGAUCACAUUUAACCAAUGAUCGCCCUUGACGGCAGAACGCGCUGGUUACGAGCCGGGAACGAGCUCACAAAGAGCACGCGCAUUUUUAGCCGUCCGGAGCUGUAGGAGAAACACAAGUUAACUCAGAGACACAGACUGAUGCGACAAAACCAUUACACCCAACUGUCAACCCCUGUCGAAGAGCACCUAUUUGGAUGCUGGACCAUCUGGCAGUCCCACAGGCUAUACCCGAAUUAUCUACCUGCCUCUCUGCCUCCACGCCAGGAGUUUUUUGGAUUUCACACCCGGACUACUCACCCCUCUACGUCAUCUUCGACCUCCUUUGUGACCCCGACCUUUUCCUGGAUCGAAUGUGACUUGCUUUCCAGUCCAAUCCCCGGAAUAGCUGUCCUCUCUGACCCGGACCAGAUCAUUACUUAGUUUCAGUGGUGGAACGUCGUACUUGUCCACUCUCACCUUUUUGUUUAUGAAUAUUUUUGGAAACAUUAAACAUUAUUUUUAAAAUCUA